RNAcentral lists this small RNA (367 nucleotides) under Duffyella gerundensis. RNAcentral's name for it is "Erwinia gerundensis cspA thermoregulator". It matches the Rfam family "cspA thermoregulator", at positions 75 to 428 of the family's 428-position model. The record is from Rfam by way of RNAcentral. Lineage: Bacteria; Pseudomonadati; Pseudomonadota; Gammaproteobacteria; Enterobacterales; Erwiniaceae.
AUCGAUAUUUAUCACUUUUUACGUAAGUGGCACUGGACAAACGCCACAGCAAUUGCUGUACUUAAUAGCGACACAGUUAAGUGUCCAUUUUCAAGUAAAGGUAAUUUAGAUGUCCAAGAUUAAAGGUAGCGUUAAGUGGUUUAAUGAAUCUAAAGGAUUCGGUUUCAUUACUCCUGAAGAUGGCAGCAAAGAUGUAUUCGUACACUUCUCUGCUAUCCAGAGCAACGGUUUCAAAACACUGGCAGAAGGCCAGACUGUUGAAUUUGAAAUCACUGAUGGCCCGAAAGGUCCUUCUGCCACUAACGUUAUCAGCGCAUAACCUUCUGGCACAGAUUCUAAAAACCUGCCGUUUGGCGGGUUUUUUUUU